GUCUUCGUGGUGUAAUUAAAAAGCACGUCCGACUAGCAGUCGGAAGAUCCGGAGUUCGAAUCCCGACGAAGGCA
RNAcentral lists this transfer RNA (74 nucleotides) under Stegodyphus mimosarum. It matches the Rfam family "tRNA". Rfam says of the family: Transfer RNA (tRNA) molecules are approximately 80 nucleotides in length. Their secondary structure includes four short double-helical elements and three loops (D, anti-codon, and T loops). Further hydrogen bonds mediate the characteristic L-shaped molecular structure. tRNAs have two regions of fundamental functional importance: the anti-codon, which is responsible for specific mRNA codon recognition, and the 3' end, to which the tRNAs corresponding amino acid is attached (by aminoacyl-tRNA synthetases). tRNAs cope with the degeneracy of the genetic code in two manners: having more than one tRNA (with a specific anti-codon) for a particular amino acid; and 'wobble' base-pairing, i.e. permitting non-standard base-pairing at the 3rd anti-codon position. Lineage: Eukaryota; Metazoa; Arthropoda; Arachnida; Araneae; Eresidae. The record is from Rfam by way of RNAcentral.